This is a long non-coding RNA of Aedes albopictus (Asian tiger mosquito), 1518 nucleotides long. RefSeq lists it as uncharacterized. The transcript has 3 exons. The record is from RefSeq and is a predicted model, not a curated record. NCBI's taxonomy places the organism in Eukaryota, Metazoa, Arthropoda, Insecta, Diptera, Culicidae.
UCAGUAGAAAUAAAAAACAAGCGUUCGUGGAGGGGAAGAUGAACCCAUUUCGUCAUCUGAUUCGUUGUUGUUACGGCCGAACGAAUUCCUGUCGGGACUGUAGCAUCGUAGCAACAAAACUUCAUUGUUUAGAUCUUUUUUACUCAGUGUCGCACAGCAGGUCCAAAGGAAACGUUGCAUGAUUGUUCCCAGAAGAAGGAAGAGUCCUUUACGUGUGCUCGUCCUGGUUCGUUGCCGCAGCUACGUGAUUUUUUUUUUUGGUUGAGAACAAGUGGAAACAAUAAUAACAACAGGCAGGCGCCGGGAGGAUAUCCACUUUUUGUAUCAGUCCCCAUAAGUGAUAUUUAUUCAGUAGCAAACCGCACGCCGCUGUUACUCUAAAGGAGAGUGAAACGUAAUCACAUGUUAUCUGGCCUAGUAUAUCUAAUAAUGCGAGGGGAUAACAAACAGACGGAGUUCGCCGUGCAAGGAGAAGGGGAAGCAAAGGAAAAAAAAACGGCAAGGAAAAACCAAAAUCCGGUUACCGAGCAGUAAAAGGAGAUAUAUGGAAACCUCUUGCAGCAUCCGGAUAAGCACUACUGGAGGAACCACACUCGAUCCAUAUUCUUGGUAAUCACGGAUUCCCCUGAUGCAUCCAAUUGCCCCGCAAUUCAAACCACGAAACGGCGCGAGGCUUUUGCAGAGCAAUGUGCAUUCGAAUGAGCGGAUCGCACGUGGGAUGCUGUAAACUGGAAAGGGCGAACGAUUCCACCGGGGAAGAGCAGUCACGCGAAUGUAUCAGCCAGCCGGUACGGAAACAGCAAAUGGCACUCGGACGUGCUCCCGCCGCGUCACGUGCACAUCCGACCAACUGAGGUGGCAGAAUUCAAUAUGAAAAAUAAUUCACUAUUUAUGUUUGUUUUAUACUCUCUUUAUUUAUUUAAAACACUCUCAUUGGAACGAAAACAAACCGAAACCCAAACCAUAUGCCCCAGGAUAAAACGAGCCGGAUCGGACGAUGAUUCAUUAAAAACAACUACCUUUCAUUGAUUUAUGCACACUGAAAUACCAUGGGUAUAAGACGGCGAUACUAGAAACAAAAAAAAAUGACGGGAUAAAAAUGCAUCGGCAUGAAUUAAUAAACAAAUGGCCGCACACGUUUGAAUAAUUCAGUGCCACAGAGUGCAGCUUAGUGUUUGAUGUUUGCAAUUAAUAUGGAAAAUUGAAGCAAUUGUAUUCAACUUAUCAACCUUUUGUGUGGGACUCAGACAGCUUGCGCUGAUGAUUUUCGGAACAAGAUAUGCUGGGAAAUUGCAUAAUUUUGUAUUUGUUAUAUUCCCUCGUACUAACGGUUUUGACAAGAAAUCUACGAGGGGAUCUACCGCUGUGUUACGCUCCAUACAAAAAUUCAAACUUCCCCAAACAAAUUUUGUUACGUGGGGGAGGGAGGUGAUUUAAAAUUGGGAAAUUCUGCGUUACGUAAUAUGCGAAUGAAUCCAUAAUGGCGCACGUUCAGUGAAGUGCUAGAGGAGGGCGCUC